GAAAGAAAGAGAGAAGGAGAGAAUUAGAGAACGCACACUUAGAUUCACACAGGACACCGAAUAGGACAGGAGAAGUACUCCAUAUAUAACAAACUGUCCAUCAUAAAACAGAUGGACAAGGUGUCUUAGAAACAUCUACCAUUAAAGGCUUAAGAUAUUAGAAAUGCCUCAACACAAUGUUGACGUAAAGACCUCUUGUCAACUAAUAUCAACACUUCUAUUUCGCUUUGGAUCAUUUUCUGCCUGUUGUAAGUUUGAGACUUUGCCUUGUGCUUUGAAAUUCCGUUACCAAAUACCCAGGUAUCUUCCAGGUAUUUUCUCUCCCUCAUGAGGGAGGAUGAUGAAAGGUUACAGAAGUAACCAGUGAAUGUAGACCUAUCAAUUAGUUAGUGUUUUUAAAGAUAUCACAUUUUGUUAUUGUGUGAUUUAAAACUUGAUAUUCCGUUACCAAAUCAGUACAUGGAAUUUCUGCAAUUGAAUUUGGUAAUUAUGGUAGUCACAAAACAGUUUGGUUCACACAUUUGGACAGUACAGCAGAGUAGAGUCCGGUAAAUAUAAGUGCUAUAGUUCAGAUCUGGUCUUGUUUGGGGGCAGAGCUCAUUUUAAGAUAAGUCAGUGUGUAGAAUAACAGUGCAUAUUUCUACCUUUUUAGGAUACAUCACCGUGAAGAGAAUGACAUUCGGAUCCAUAAUUGUGUAGUUAAGAUCAGGGAUCCAUGAUGUAAUUCUGUUACCGGGUUUGUUCUGUUCUGGUUUGGCAUACAUUUUAAAUGAGAAAUCUGGGUCUCAGUGCAAUUCCAUCUCUAUGGAAUUGCCCAUAGAACAUUAAUGUUGUCCUACCCAAAACUCUGCAGAUAUCUGUUUAUCAGUGUAUCUUAUCUGGUACUUGACUGUAGAUAUCUCUACAUAUCAGCUGGUUAUCUGUUGUCCUAGGGCACGGUUUUGUUUUACAGCUGACGACACACUACUAUGAUGUUGAGCUGUGGGCUAGUUGCAGACAGUGUCAUUAAGUAUCAGGCUGGUUAUCCGAGUAUGGAGUGGUCUGAGGUUUGGCUGUUUCUAUUGGUCAUGAGAUGUCUGUUUUUGUGGAGAGAAGACCCACCAUCCUCUGACUCCUCUUUCUGUCUGUCUCUCUCCCUCUCUCUGUGAGGCUAAAGAUGAUGGACAUUAAAGAUGACCUCUUUUCUCCCCCAGACAGACCAGACAAAUAGAAGGGUUUGGUGAUUGUGUCUGCUCUGGGAGAUUUGUUCUCGUCUGUCUGGAGUUGACAAAAACACAUUUGUAAGAAGGAUGAACACAACACUGUCACCCCCCCGACUGAUACAAGUAAUGACAGAUUUGUUCAUGUCUCUUCUCUUCCCCACUCUCUCUCCUCUCUCCAUUUCUCUCUCCCUCUGUAGAUGACAGCCAGUUUGAGAUGGACAUCUGAGCAGCAGCGCAUUGCCUCCUGUGGAGAGAACUGUUUUAUCUUCUAUUCUGACGUCUGAUUGGUCCUUUACAACCAGCAUGCGUCACAUUCACCUUCUUCAACUUCCUUUUUUAAAACCUUUUUGUUGUUGAGGAAACCCCCCAAAAUAAAGAGAAUGGGGACAUGUCGAUCCCUGUGUUAGUAUUAUUUUUAGCACCAGUAUGCGUCAAUGGUUGCAGAUUAGUGUCUGAGCUGCAGGGUUGGAAGAACCAAUACAUUUGUUUGGACUGUUUUUGGUUUGUACAUAAGAGUACAGUACUUUGUAUUUUUUAAAAGGAGAGAGAUGUACGAGAUUUUACAUGAAACAUACAGGGACGGAGGGGUUGGUCAAGACGUCUGACCCUGGCAUAAGGUUAAAGGUCAGAGGUUGGGGUGACUGUUGGACAGGCUCUUCCAUGCAUCUACCUGUGGAGGAGGAACUGAAAUGUAUCAAAGUUCAAAAUAAAAAUCAGUAUAAAACCUAAA
This is a long non-coding RNA of Oncorhynchus tshawytscha (Chinook salmon), 1932 nucleotides long. NCBI's taxonomy places the organism in Eukaryota, Metazoa, Chordata, Actinopteri, Salmoniformes, Salmonidae. The record is from Ensembl.